Molecule: ribosomal RNA, 258 nt
Filed under: uncultured bacterium
Lineage: Bacteria
Description: partial 16S ribosomal RNA
Rfam family: Bacterial small subunit ribosomal RNA
Source: RNAcentral
UACGUAGGGUGCAAGCGUUAUCCGGAAUACUGGCGGUAAGGCGUGCGCAGGCGGUUAUGUAAGACAAGGUGCGAAAUCCCCGGGCUUAACCUCGGGGAAACUGGCAUUUGUGUACUGCAUAGCUAGAGUACGGUAGAGGCAGGUGGAAUUCCGGGUGUAGCGGUGGAAUGCGUAGAGAUCCGGAAGAACACCGGUGGCGAAGGCGGCCUGCUGGGCAGUGGCUGACGCUGAGGCGCGACAGCGUGGGGAGCAAACAGG